RNAcentral lists this ribosomal RNA (433 nucleotides) under uncultured bacterium. RNAcentral describes it as "partial 16S ribosomal RNA". It matches the Rfam family "Bacterial small subunit ribosomal RNA", at positions 29 to 507 of the family's 1533-position model. The record is from RNAcentral.
AACGAACGCUGGCGGCAUGCCUAACACAUGCAAGUCGAACGAGACCUUCGGGCCUAGUGGCGCACGGGUGCGUAACGCGUGGGAAGCUGCACUUAGGUUCGGAAUAACUCCCCGAAAGGGGUGCUAAUACCGGAUAAUCUCUUCGGACCAAAGAUUUAUCGCCUUUGGAUGGGGCCGCGUUGGAUUAGCUAGUUGGUAGGGUAAUAGCCUACCAAGGCGAGGAUGCAUAGCUGGUGUGAGAGGAUGAUCCGCCGCGCUAGGACUGCGACCCGGCCCAGACCGGUACGCGAGGCAGCAGUAGGUAGUACUAUGCGAUGAACGAAAGCGUGACACAGCAGUGCGGCGUGAGUGGUGAAGGCGUUAGUGUUCUAAAGCUCUUUUACCCGAGGUGAUAAUGACAGUACCGGGUGAAUAAGCUCCGGCUAACUCCGUG